RNAcentral lists this transfer RNA (75 nucleotides) under Acidovorax sp. Root70. RNAcentral's name for it is "tRNA-His". Lineage: Bacteria; Pseudomonadati; Pseudomonadota; Betaproteobacteria; Burkholderiales; Comamonadaceae. The record is from RNAcentral.
GCCGCUCCAGCGCUGGAUUGUCGCCUAGGAUUGUGAUUCCUGUUGUCGUGGGUUCGAGCCCCAUCAGCCACCCCA